This 135-nucleotide small nuclear RNA is filed under the name Suricata suricatta (meerkat). Its description in RNAcentral is "U2 spliceosomal RNA (ENSSSUG00005001553.1)". It matches the Rfam family "U2 spliceosomal RNA". Rfam says of the family: U2 is a small nuclear RNA (snRNA) component of the spliceosome (involved in pre-mRNA splicing). Complementary binding between U2 snRNA (in an area lying towards the 5' end but 3' to hairpin I) and the branchpoint sequence (BPS) of the intron results the bulging out of an unpaired adenosine, on the BPS, which initiates a nucleophilic attack at the intronic 5' splice site, thus starting the first of two transesterification reactions that mediate splicing. The record is from Rfam by way of RNAcentral. Lineage: Eukaryota; Metazoa; Chordata; Mammalia; Carnivora; Herpestidae.
AUCGCUUCUCGGCCUUUUGGCUAAGAUCAAGUGUAAAAUAUUUUUGGAGCUCUUCAUUGGAUAAGAAAAUUUUCAUAUACAUCUGCCAUUUCAUAUCAUCAUUUAUUUCACAUAAAACACAUAAAUGAAGCACUC